GACGGGAUACUUCGCCUGUUAAGCGACUGGUCGUUGGUUCGAAUCCAACUUCCGCCG
RNAcentral lists this transfer RNA (57 nucleotides) under Paenibacillus macerans. Lineage: Bacteria; Bacillati; Bacillota; Bacilli; Caryophanales; Paenibacillaceae. The record is from Rfam by way of RNAcentral.